GCCCGGCCCCGCAGCGGCCCCUUCGCUUCCGAAGCGGCCAUUUACGAGGGGCCUCGGCCGGCUGCUCCCCCCGGAAGAAGAAGGAGGGACUUCUUGAGGAAGGGACAGAGUCUACGUGCCCAAUUAUUUCCAGUGGAUCUUUUCUCCAUGAACGUGUCUGGUUGCCCCUUAAGGCCAUGGAAAGUUUUAGCAUGUACAAGGCACGUAGAACACUGCACUGCUCAGCACCGAUCACAAGGAUCUGACUUCUCCAUUGAGUAGAACUCAGAAGCUUCAUACUGUUUGCUUUUUAUCUGGCUCUUCUUUUGCAAGACUAGGGUUGAAGUAUUUAAAGCCUCUAUACUAGACUGGUACCAUAACAAGUCUUCCUGGAAAUUAUACCGUGUAUGGUUUUAACAAUGAAAAGCCAGUUCCUGUUUACUUAUUUUCAUCAACAUAUAAGGUCCAUGAACUUUACGGAAUAAAUGUUACUGUUCACCUGUUUUCAUUAAGUACGUAUCAUUCUUGGUGCUCCAGCAAUUGCUUACACAGAAGAAUAGUGCUAGAAAAGACUAAAUAUUUUUAUCCAUGCUUAAUUGUAUUUAACUGAUUUUGGUCACAGUACAAUUUAUUUUUGACAGCAGCUGCUUUGCUAUUCCUUAUUUCACAUUUCCAAUUUACAUAUCUUAUUUUUUCUCUCUGCCUACUCUCCAGUACAUAUUC
Non-coding RNA from Phalacrocorax carbo (great cormorant), 702 nucleotides. The record is from RefSeq and is a predicted model, not a curated record. NCBI's taxonomy places the organism in Eukaryota, Metazoa, Chordata, Aves, Suliformes, Phalacrocoracidae.